GAUGAACGCUGGCGGCGUGCCUAAUACAUGCAAGUCGAACGAAACUUCUUUAUCACCGAGUGCUUGCACUCACCGAUAAAGAGUUGAGUGGCGAACGGGUGAGUAACACGUGGGCAACCUGCCCAAAAGAGGGGGAUGACACUUGGAAACAGGUGCUAAUACCGCAUAACCAUAGUUACCGCAUGGUAACUAUGUAAAAGGUGGCUAUACUACCGCUUUUGGAUGGGCCCGCGGCGCAUUAGCUAGUUGGUAGGGUAAAGGCUUACCAAGGCAAUGAUGCGUAGCCGAAUUGAGAGGUUGAUCGGCCACAUUGGGACUGAGACACGGCCCAAACUCCUACGGGAGGCAGCAGUAGGGAAUCUUCCACAAUGGGCGAAAGCCUGAUGGAGCAACGCCGCGUGGGUGAAGAAGGUCUUCGGAUCGUAAAACCCUGUUGUUAGAGAAGAAAGUGCGUGAGAGUAACUGUUCACGUUUCGACGGUAUCUAACCAGAAAGCCACGGCUAACUACGUG
This 512-nucleotide ribosomal RNA is filed under the name uncultured bacterium. RNAcentral describes it as "partial 16S ribosomal RNA". It matches the Rfam family "Bacterial small subunit ribosomal RNA", at positions 28 to 507 of the family's 1533-position model. The record is from RNAcentral.